Molecule: ribosomal RNA, 622 nt
Filed under: Mierspenaeopsis hardwickii
Lineage: Eukaryota; Metazoa; Arthropoda; Malacostraca; Decapoda; Penaeidae
Description: partial 16S ribosomal RNA
Rfam family: Microsporidia small subunit ribosomal RNA (bases 205-621)
Source: RNAcentral
AGAGGUAAAGUAAAAGAUAAUUGGUUAAAAAUGCUUAAAUGUAAAAUUUUAUUUAAAUGGAUUGUUUUGUGUUAAUAAAGGGUGAAAUCGAUUUUUUGUUGUAUAACUAAUUUUGUUAAAUAAAAGUUGUUGAGGUUGUUAAGGUUAAGGUAUGAACCAGGAUUAGAUACCCUGUUACACUUUACUUAGAAGUUUAUUGUACCUAGGUAAUAAACAGUUAUGAUCUUGAAACUUAAAGGAUUUGGCGGUAAUUUAGUCUAGUUAGAGGAACCUGUCCUAUAAUCGAUAAACCACGUAAUAUCUUACUUUAUCUUGAAAGUUUUCAGUUUAUAUACCAUCAUUAUUAGAUAACUUUAAUAAGAUAGAGAAGUUAUUGAAAUAAUUUUUAGUUAAUAUAUUAGAUCAAGGUGUAGCUAAUGAUAAAGUAGAGAUGGGUUACAAUAAUAUGAGUUUAUAACGAACUUAAGAAAGAACUUUUUUAAUGAAGGAGGAUUUAAAUGUAAAUGUGUUUUAAUAUGACAUAUUGAUUAUAGCUCUAGAUUAUGUACACAUCGCCCGUCGCUCUCGUUAUAUAAAGCGAGAUAAGUCGUAACAUAGUAGGUGUACUGGAAAGUGUACCUAG